RNAcentral lists this ribosomal RNA (497 nucleotides) under uncultured bacterium. RNAcentral describes it as "partial 16S ribosomal RNA". It matches the Rfam family "Bacterial small subunit ribosomal RNA", at positions 28 to 507 of the family's 1533-position model. The record is from RNAcentral.
GAUGAACGCUGGCGGCGUGCCUAAUACAUGCAAGUCGAGCGGACAGACGAGGAGCUUGCUCCUCUGACGUUAGCGGCGGACGGGUGAGUAACACGUGGAUAACCUACCUAUAAGACUGGGAUAACUUCGGGAAACCGGCGCUAAUACCGGAUAAUAUAUUGAACCGCAUGGUUGAAUAGUGAAAGACGGUUUUGCUGUCACUUAUAGAUGGAUCCGCGCCGCAUUAGCUAGUUGGUAAGGUAACGGCUUACCAAGGCAACGAUGCGUAGCCGACCUGAGAGGGGGAUCGGCCACACGGGAACGUAGACAGGGUCCAGACUCCUAAGGGAGGCAGCAGUAGGGAAUCGUCCGCAAUGGGCGAAAGCCUGACGGAGCAACGCCGCGUGAGUGAUGAAGGUCUUGGGAGCGUAAAACUCUGUUACGAGGGAAGAACAAAUGUGUAAGUAACUAUGCACGUCUUGACGGUAACUAAUCAGAAAGCCACGGCUAACUACGUG